GAUGAACGCUGGCGGCGUGCUUAACACAUGCAAGUCGAACGAACCUUCGGGUUAGUGGCGGACGGGUGAGUAACGCGUGGGAAUCUGCCCUCAGGAGGGGGAUAACGGUUGGAAACGACCGCUAAUACCCCAUAUGCCGAGAGGUGAAACGAAUUUCGCCUGAGGAUGAGCCCGCGUCUGAUUAGCUAGUUGGUGGGGUAAAGGCCUACCAAGGCAUCGAUCAGUAGCUGGUCUGAGAGGAUGAUCAGCCACACUGGGACUGAGACACGGCCCAGACUCCUACGGGAGGCAGCAGUGGGGAAUUUUCCGCAAUGGGCGCAAGCNUGACGGAGCAACGCCGCGUGAGGGAUGAAGGCCUCUGGGCUGUAAACCUCUUUUCUCAAGGAAGAAGAUCUGACGGUACUUGAGGAAUAAGCCACGGCUAAUUCCGUGCCAGCAGCCGCGGUAAUACGGGAGUGGCAAGCGUUAUCCGGAAUUAUUGGGCGUAAAGCGUCCGCAGGCGGCCUUGAAAGUCUGUCGUUAAAGCGUGGAGCUUAACUCCAUUUCGGCGGUGGAAACUACAAGGCUUGAGUGUGGUAGGGGCAGAGGGAAUUCCCGGUGUAGCGGUGAAAUGCGUAGAUAUCGGGAAGAACACCAGUGGCGAAGGCGCUCUGCUGGGCCAUAACUGACGCUCAUGGACGAAAGCUAGGGGAGCGAAAGGGAUUAGAUACCCCUGUAGUCCUAGCCGUAAACGAUGAACACUAGGUGUCGGGGGAAUCGACCCCCUCGGUGUCGUAGCUAACGCGUUAAGUGUUCCGCCUGGGGAGUACGCACGCAAGUGUGAAACUCAAAGGAAUUGACGGGGGCCCGCACAAGCGGUGGAGUAUGUGGUUUAAUUCGAUGCAACGCGAAGAACCUUACCAGGGUUUGACAUCCUGCGAAUCCCUUGGAAACUUGGGAGUGCCUUCGGGAGCGCAGAGACAGGUGGUGCAUGGCUGUCGUCAGCUCGUGUCGUGAGAUGUUGGGUUAAGUCCCGCAACGAGCGCAACCCACGUCUUUAGUUGCCAGCAUUUAGUUGGGCACUCUAGAGAGACCGCCGGUGAUAAACCGGAGGAAGGUGUGGAUGACGUCAAGUCAUCAUGCCCCUUACAUCCUGGGCUACACACGUACUACAAUGCUACGGACAAAGGGUUGCAAACUCGCGAGAGCUAGCUAAUCCCAUAAACCGUGGCUCAGUUCAGAUCGUAGGCUGCAACUCGCCUACGUGAAGGAGGAAUCGCUAGUAAUCGCAGGUCAGCAUACUGCGGUGAAUACGUUCCCGGGCCUUGUACACACCGCCCGUCACACCAUGGAAGUUGGCCACGCCCGAAGUCGUUACUCCAACCCGCAAGGGAGGAGGAUGCCGAAGGUGGGGCUGAUGACUGGGGUG
Molecule: ribosomal RNA, 1408 nt
Filed under: uncultured cyanobacterium
Lineage: Bacteria; Bacillati; Cyanobacteriota
Description: bacterial SSU rRNA
Rfam family: Bacterial small subunit ribosomal RNA
Source: RNAcentral